GUGCUUGCUUUGGCAGCACAUAUACUAAAAUUGGAAAGAUACAGAGAAGAUUAGCAUGGCCCCUGUGCAAGGAUGACACGCAAAUUCGUGAAGCAUUCCAUAUUUUU
This 107-nucleotide small nuclear RNA is filed under the name Saimiri boliviensis boliviensis (Bolivian squirrel monkey). Lineage: Eukaryota; Metazoa; Chordata; Mammalia; Primates; Cebidae. The record is from RNAcentral.